RNAcentral lists this long non-coding RNA (240 nucleotides) under Helianthus annuus (common sunflower). RNAcentral describes it as "hypothetical non coding rna". The stretch from base 1 to 103 matches the Rfam family "Small nucleolar RNA Z103". Lineage: Eukaryota; Viridiplantae; Streptophyta; Magnoliopsida; Asterales; Asteraceae. The record is from RNAcentral.
AUUGAGAUGAUGAUUAUUUCCCCAGAUGAUCGAAGUUGAUUAUACUGAGCGCAUUAUUAUAGUUCCCUUUAAUAGGGAAUUCCAAGCCAGAAAUCUGAUCCUCUUUUUUGUAUAAUUGUUUUAUGAUUUUUUUAUUGUUUUUCUGUGAAUGUGAAUGCCUCUGAUGAUGAUUCAAAUAAAACUUUCGUUCUUCUGAAUAUCCUUGUGGAAACGAUUAUUGGAGACCUGAACUGAAGAGGC